UCGUUGCACAUCGCGGUCGCUUACGCUGUUGACAGCUUUGCUUGUUCUUCUUCACAUCGCAUUUUUUGUCGUCGCAUUUUACUUGUUCCUGUACUUGCGAUUUGCAUUGACACACGCAUCCAUACGAAUGUAUUUGUGUACUUGUGCUUGUAUUUAUUUCGUCUGUUGAAGUGUGCGCGAAUAAUUUCUUGUUUCACGGUUUUUUGCGGUUUUCGCGUCGUCAUUGCGCCUCCCCGCAUCGCGUCGUCGUCCUCCGUUACAUUGCCGUUGGGCCAUUGUCCAUUGUUGCCGUUUUGUUGUUGUUGUUGCCGUUGGCUUUGUUUGGGGCUCGUUUUACGCUCUUCUUCAGUUCAUCAAUUUGCAUUGCAGGUGCGUUGUACUUUUGCGAUCACUCCGCAUGUGGGCGGCGUAUUUUCCAGCACUGGUAAGCAUCCCAAAUGCCCCUCUUGCCAACACAGUUCACUACCAGCAGAUGAUUAAAUUCAUUGCCUUCGAUUACAACACUCACACACAAGCAGACAAACACACAGACACACACACACAUUCAAACAUGCAAAGGCACGUAGCAAAAGUUGACGGCAAGUGCGCGGCUGUAUUUACAACAAUUGCAAUAGGUGACUGGGCGGGUGAGAGUGAGACGCCAUGAGAGCCCAGGGAGAGCAGCGCACAAGUAAGGCGUGCAAGGCAUGAGUGUGAGCAAACAGAUGAGAAUUGCAAUACACACACACGCACAUACAAGCGCAAAGGCGGCCGGCACUUCCCCUAUACGUAAACUUAUUUCGCCGUUGCACUCGUCGUCGUCGCAGCGCUGCGCUGCAUAUGCGUUUAUGUAUGUAUGUGUGUGUGUGUGUGUGUGUAAGAGAGAAUGUAAUUGUCUGAUUGUUCCCUAUGUAAGUGCAUUUGUAUAUAUAUGUGUGGAUCCCACUUGGAACGGCGGCGAUUUCAUUUGCUUUUAUUACCAUUUUUGGUGGCUGUGCUGCCUGCGUUGGCGUCUCCUCCUCGUUUUGGGGUCUCCGUUGUAGUGUAGUUUCUGCUUUUGCAAAUACACAACGAGCCCGAACAACGAACGACGCCAAACGAAGCGUUGACUUUGAUCGGCAUCGGCUUUUUGUGCAGCCGAAGCGUUGACUUUGAUCGGCUUUUUUUGUGCAGCGGCAAAAAAUUAAAAAAAAAUAUGGCAACGUUUGGAGAAAAAGUUCUCUACCCUUUUGUCAGUGUGGAGCGCGACUUUGAAAUGUACGGCAAUGUAAGCGGGAGCAACGGUAACACUGUAACACGGCAAUUCAAUGAGUCAAUAUUAUCAAAUCCAACAACUGCCACACACACACACAACAAAUUACAUAAACAAUAAAACUAAAAAAAAAAAAAUAAAUAAGCAACAACGAAAAACUAGCUCGGAAAUUUGAAACUGCGCACGCGUUGCAAUUUUCAAGACCAAAAACCUCGCAGCAACAACAACAUCAACAACCAAGUACAAUAACAACAACAACAAUUGCAUAGUAAAAGCACAACAAUAACAACGAAAAAAUAAAGUCAAAGUGAACUGAAAGGCAGAAAGGGAUAGCAGCUGUUUUGACUGCCGGCAUCGUCUAAGGACAACGGUUCAAGUGCAAGGAGGAUGCAGGACACCGACACCGACCGAAAGCUGCGGAGUGCAACAACUCCCGACGAUGAAACAACGUGUGGUCGCAGCACAAUUCCAUCUGAUAGAGGAACAUGCAAUGGAAACGCAACAAAAGGAUUAGAUUUUAUUUGCAAAUUAAACUCGAUAAAUAUCAGCACUAACAUCAUGCUUUUUUCUAUUCUCAGGAAACUCAAGGAAUUUCACAACAAUGCAUAAUCAAAAAACGAAAAAAAGGGGAAGGAAAAGCUGCAAAGGACAAGGAUACAAAUCAAUAUGCAAUUGUAAUCCAAUUAAAGAAAUGGUGCAUACUCACAUAUGGACCAUUAACAGAAACCCGUAAAUCCGAACUUGUGCUGUUUUAUAUCUGUUACAAGACCGGCAUUAUGGGAGUCUGUCAAUGCAAACAACUGGUUUUUGGCAACAACACAAAGAGUUCUUAACUAAACAAAUGAGACACAAGCUCAGAUAAACUAAAGCACAAUAACUACGUAAUGAGAAAUUUAAAUGUGAUAAACGAGAAUAUAAAUUCAGCUGGAAACUCGGAAAUAAAAUAAAAAUAAUUAAACAUUCAUCUUCAUAAAACAUAAAUAAAAUAAUACGCAAAAAUAAAACACUACAACAUUUGA
Molecule: long non-coding RNA, 2250 nt
Organism: Drosophila nasuta
Lineage: Eukaryota; Metazoa; Arthropoda; Insecta; Diptera; Drosophilidae
Exons: 3
Source: RefSeq, a predicted model, not a curated record